AUUAAUUUUUUCAAUAAAAAAAAAUUCUAAAAAUUGUUAAAUGUCGGCUAAUUUAAUUUUCACUAAAAUUACACCACGUGGAUAACAUCUAUUUAUCUAUUGACAAAUAAAUAGUAAGACCAGUGGCGCCCUUUUGAAUUUAAUUCAAUCCUCCACACUACUGGCAGCGGAACAGCUGUUUCGUGUCAAUUGCACUUGCUUGUUCACUUUACGUGUCAUCUUAUUGUUAACUGUAUAUUGUAUAUAUAAGAUGGCUUAGCAAGUGAUUAUUUAUACACACAUAUAUAUAUGGGGAUAUAUUUUUUAUAUUUAAUAAAUAUCACAGUAGUUACAUUACAUGCGGUGAAGAUAACUAUCAAGUUCUUGAGAACUUGCUAAAAUGUUGUCAGCGUUCAAAAGAUUGGCUGGUAAGCACGAUGGGGUUGUUAACACAUCACCUAGACCUGCUCAUCAAUCAAUGCCAACGACAUUGCAGAGAAAAUUUUCUAAAGGAGUCCAAUAUAACAUGAAAAUAAUCAUCAAGGGUGAUAGAAAUGUUGGUAAAACAUGUUUAUUCCAUAGACUGCAGGGCCAAAAAUUUACAGAAGAAUACAUUCCAACGGAAGAAAUCCAAGUAACAAGCAUACAAUGGAACUAUAAAACCACAGACGAUGUCGUGAAAGUAGAAGUGUGGGACGUAGUUGACCGUGGAAGGCGUAGGCGAAAGUUAGACGGCUUAAAAAUGGACAACGCUCCAUCAGACGCGAUUAUCGAAGAGCCAGCACUCGACGCAGAAUUCCUAGACGUCUACAAGGGGACCAACGGCGUGAUCGUGAUGCUGGACGUCACAAAAUCCUGGACAUUUGACUACGUGCAGCGUGAGCUGCCCAAAAUUCCCGAUCACAUCCCCGUAAUAGUCCUCGGGAAUCAUUGCGACAUGUCUCACCACCGUACAGUCACCGCGGAUCGCGUAACUUAUUUUAUCGAUUCUCUGACUGAAAGAACCGCUCAAGUGCGUUACGCCGAGUCUUCGAUGCGUAAUGGUUUCGGAUUAAAAUUGCUGCACAAAUUUUUCAACCUUCCAUUCCUGCAGCUGCAACGCGAGACACUGUUGAAGCAACUUGAGACGAAUGAAGAAGAAACCCAGCUUACUAGUCAGGAGUUGGAUUUGUUUCAAGAGAGCGACGACGCUGAUUACGAUAAAUUUUUGGACAAUCUUGUAAAUCGGCGACGUGCUGUCGCUGAAUCUGUAUCAGCAAACAUUCUAGUCCCAAAUGUAACGUCAUCAUUGAGCACACACCACGCAUUGUCUUCCAGUAAUAGUAAUAAUAAUUUUAACGAUGUUAGAAGAUCUAAUUCAAUGCCUGGACCGAUUGGUGGUGGUACUCCUAUUCCUGUUAAAUCUUUUGAGGCCAAAGUAAUACCAAAAAAAGAAACCAAGACGGAUUAUAAUGGGAAAAAUUUAUCUUCUGUAAAACCAGAUUCAAUUUCUGAUGAUAGAAAAGAAAAACAGCAAAAUUUUGUCGCUAAAAUUCUUGCUGGUGGAAAAAAAGAUGAUGUUCCAACAAUAACAACAAUAAAUUUAACUAAUGCAGCUAAUAAUAAAAAUUCUUCUCCGCUAGCAAGCGUUGAAGACUUUGUUCCGGAUGAUGGAAUGUUAGAUAGGUCUUUUUUGGACGACAAUAAUCAGUCACCUCAAAAAACUCAGGCUAGUAGUAAUGUAGUUGAUACAGAUAGUGAGACAGAGACUGCUAACCCACUUGUUGCUGGGUAUGAAGACGAUCUUUCGUCGGCUGAUGACGAUCAUUCCGUUCCUGUAGAACCAAGACUUGCUGAGAAUCCUUUGAGCAAGUCUAAAAAGCGAGAUCGUGAUGCUGGUUCUUUAAUUGAGGAUAAAAAAAUAAUUCCUUCGGAAAAACGCGACUCGAUAUCGUCCAGUGAAGAGCUCCAGAUCUCAAAUGGAGAUUUUGGGUCGCUGGAUCACCAGGAUGGAAAUUCAGACAGGUUUAAUAGUUGGUUGAGUCGGGACUCCAAGUGGCGGCAGAGCCCCGAGGGUGGCGAAGAUGUUAGUAGCACUGGAACCAGAAAAGAUAAAUUGGAUGUCAGUGAUAAGAGUCUAGAUGUCAGUGUUACUAGUUCUAAUGUCCAUUUGGAGCUGCUGGAUAAUUCGAGCGUUAGGCAAAAUUAUGCUUAUGCUAAUUCUAAUUCUAAUAGUCCGGUGAUGAAGGAGAAGAAGAAGAGGGAUAAGGGCGAGGAUAAAGAGAAGAGGAAGAAGAAGAAAAGUAAAGAUAAGAGCAAGGAUAAGGAUAAGGGGGAUAAGACCGAGAGGAGGAAGAAACGAUCGCAGAGAAAGGAUGAGGAUGAGGGGAAGGAUGAGCUUGAAGAGUUUUUAAAUGGACCUGCUUCGCGACCAUCUAUUGAUAUGGCUUAUGAAGCUUUGUAAGGAAAAGAUUUAAAAGCUUCGACUUCCAGUUAUAAAGUUGUUUAUAAAAUAGCUUGUGUUGUUUAUGCCAUGGUCUAUAAUCGAUUAUUAAAUUAUUGUAAUGACUUAUUGACGGAUGAACCCUCGAUUAAGUUACUCGAGAUAAACAAUAAUAAUAAUACAUAAAAGAUUUACAGUUUUGAUGAGAAUAUUGAGCGGAAUUAAUUAACCGAUUUUUAACUUGGCUGUUUAUUCCAGUUAAUAACAACUUAUUCCAAUAAAUGAUCUUCAAAAUACAAUAAAUCGUUAAACAGUUAAUAAAAUUUUAAUAAAUACAAUUUAUAUAUAAAU
This 2752-nucleotide unclassified non-coding RNA is filed under the name Cotesia glomerata. RNAcentral's name for it is "rab-like protein 6, transcript variant X2". Lineage: Eukaryota; Metazoa; Arthropoda; Insecta; Hymenoptera; Braconidae. The record is from RNAcentral.